AUUGAACGCUGGCGGCAGGCCUAACACAUGCAAGUCGAGCGGAUGAAGGGAGCUUGCUCCUGGAUUCAGCGGCGGACGGGUGAGUAAUGCCUAGGAAUCUGCCUGGUAGUGGGGGAUAACGUCCGGAAACGGGCGCUAAUACCGCAUACGUCCUGAGGGAGAAAGUGGGGGAUCUUCGGACCUCACGCUAUCAGAUGAGCCUAGGUCGGAUUAGCUAGUGGGUGGGGUAAAGGCCUACCAAGGCGGCGAUCCGUAACUGGUCUGAGAGGAUGAUCAGUCACACUGGAACUGAGACACGGUCCAGACUCCUACGGGAGGCAGCAGUGGGGAAUAUUGGACAAUGGGCGAAAGCCUGAUCCAGCCAUGCCGCGUGUGUGAAGAAGGUCUUCGGAUUGUAAAGCACUUUAAGUUGGGAGGAAGGACAGUAAGUUAAUACCUGGCUGUUUUGACGUUACCAACAGAAUAAGCACCGGCUAACUUCGUG
Molecule: ribosomal RNA, 484 nt
Filed under: uncultured bacterium
Lineage: Bacteria
Description: partial 16S ribosomal RNA
Rfam family: Bacterial small subunit ribosomal RNA
Source: RNAcentral